GGCACAUGUCUGUUAGCAUGCAGAGGGAAGCAUCAUUUGUUCCUUUGCUCUAGAAAAUUCAUCAUCUCAUAUGGAUAGACGGUGGUUUAGUGUCAUAAGCCAUUAAUAUUCACCAUGCUCUUUGUACAUCUGAUAUCUUUGAAAAAAUUGCAUAUGUGUCGCCGCAUUGUUUUUGUGCAUUCCAGGUGGAGUUUUAGUUUUGUGCCGUCUGGCUUUUCUUUGUGUGAAAGAAGAUAACUCAUUGAAAUCCUUAUUUGACCGGCCUACAGCAAUACAGCAAUCACAGUAUCUAAUGACUCUAUUGUCCUUCGAGAGCUAUAGUUCUUCGAGUAGCUGCUUGUUAUCGGUGCAAGUCUGUCGCAACUUUUACAUCAAUUGCAGUCUCCCUCUGCAACUUCAGUAGCUGCUUGUUAUCGGUGCAAGUCUGUCGCAACUUUUACAUCAAUUGCAGUCUCCCUCUGAUAUUGAUAACGGUUGUACUUCCAGGUUCGGUUUUAUAUGCACGUUUAUUUUCGUUAUUCUGCUCUUUAUUGAAUGUCUUAUUGGUUUUGAAUUACUACAUGUUGCACUUUUAUUUAUUGGCUAUUUGAUUCUUGCUGUCCAAUAAAAUGAGCUUCUCCAAGUUUGUUGUUGAUUCUGCUGAUUCAGUAACUACAAAAAAGAACCAACGUAAUAAAAAACUAAGAGAACAAUACGUUGCACUCUCUCCUCAAGAAAAGGAAAUUCGCUUGGCCAAACAAAGAGAGGCAUAUCAGAGAAGAAAAUUAAAUAAUUUUUUGGCACUUCCUGCUCAUGAACAAUUAAAACGAGUUGAAAAAUCGAUUAUUGGGGAGACUUUUCGCAUUCACUGUGACCAAGCAAAAGUUGAAGAGGAACAAGAUCGUCUGGCAAAAAAAAGGAAAUCCGUCGACAGAAGCAGAGAGAGGCUUAUCAUAGAAAAAAGUUGCGCUUAUCUUUUGGUGCUCAUGCAUCAGAACAUACUGAAGAAAUUGUCCAUGCUGCUCCUGCUACUGCGUUAACUACUACUAUGACUACCAAUUGCCUGUCGAGUGAAGAUCCUGCGAAUCUUAAAAAAAAGGAAAGUGUCACUUCUGCUCCAAACAACAUACAAUGUGAUGAAAUAUCAUCUCCAGAAAGUCUUCAAAAAAUGCAAAGUACCACUUCCACUGCAAAUAAUAUAUUAUUUGCUGAAGUACCACCUGCUUCUGGAUUAGUUAUUCAAGAGCCGGUUAACAGCAAUGCAAAAGGUAUAUUUAUAUACAAACGAAUGUCUAGCUCAUACUUCAAAUUCUAUAAUGCUAUCUUGUACUUAUUCUCACUCAGCUCCUGAACGCAGUAAUAUCG
This is a non-coding RNA of Coffea arabica (coffee), 1344 nucleotides long. The record is from RefSeq and is a predicted model, not a curated record. NCBI's taxonomy places the organism in Eukaryota, Viridiplantae, Streptophyta, Magnoliopsida, Gentianales, Rubiaceae.